UACGUAGAGGGCAAGCGUUGUCCGGAAUUACUGGGCGUAAAGGGUACGCAGGCGGAUAUAUAAGUCAAAUGUGAAAGGCACCGGCUCAACCGGUGAGCGGCAUUUGAAACUGUAUAUCUUGAGUUCAGGAGAGGAGAGCGGAAUUCCUGGUGUAGCGGUGGAAUGCGUAGAUAUCAGGAAGAACACCAGUGGCGAAGGCGGCUCUCUGGCCUGAAACUGACGCUCAGGUACGAAAGCUGGGGGAGCGAACGGG
RNAcentral lists this ribosomal RNA (253 nucleotides) under uncultured bacterium. RNAcentral describes it as "partial 16S ribosomal RNA". It matches the Rfam family "Bacterial small subunit ribosomal RNA", at positions 524 to 776 of the family's 1533-position model. The record is from RNAcentral. RNAcentral also lists the same sequence under 1 other name.